RNAcentral lists this unclassified non-coding RNA (364 nucleotides) under uncultured bacterium. RNAcentral describes it as "contains 16S-23S intergenic spacer region". The record is from RNAcentral.
UCCCGGUUGGCCCGGGCAGUCUCGUCUGAAAAAUCCAACAGACGAUAAGGGUUUCGCUCGUUGCGGGACUUAACCCAACAUCUCACGACACGAGCUGAGGACGGCCAUGCAACACCUGUCACCUGGUUCCCGAAGGCACUCCGCUAUUUCUAGCAGAUCCCAGGGAUGUCAAGCCUCGGUAAGGUUCUUCGCGUAGCUUCGAAUUAAACCACAUGCUCCACCGCUUGUGCGGGUCCCCGUCAAUUCCUUUGAGUUUUAAGCUUGCGCUCGUACUCCCCAGGCGGCAUGCUUAACGCGUUAGCUUCUCAGCACAGAGGGUCGAUACUCCAUACUAAUAGCAUGCAUCGUUUACGGCGUGGACUAC